RNAcentral lists this long non-coding RNA (559 nucleotides) under Salvia miltiorrhiza (redroot sage). Its description in RNAcentral is "long non-coding RNA (SMIL_LNC001147)". The record is from RNAcentral. Lineage: Eukaryota; Viridiplantae; Streptophyta; Magnoliopsida; Lamiales; Lamiaceae.
AGUGAAUCAUAGAAUAUUAAGCACUACACCAUGACUUAAGAUUAGAAUUCAAGGAGACCUAUUGAGAAUAGAUUUCUUGUAGGCUUUGUGAUGACCAGGAGGAUUAGCGCUAUUUUUCCAAGACAGGUUUAUAUGUGUAUGAUCUUCAGGCUUUGCCUAUCCAGGUGGGCUUACUUUCCAAAUGUAUAAAGUAUGAUUGAGUUAUUAAGCUCUAAAUGUUUCAAUGAAAUGCAAAUUGUUUAUUCUAUUAAAUGCAAACUGUUUAUCCAAUAAAAUAUUUUGUGCACUCUGCUCCGUUUAAGGCUCGCAACAAUGAAUCGAUCGAGGUUCUCUCUUGACCUAACACGUUAUUUGAGAAUUGUGUACACCUAUUAGCUGACCUGGUGGGUUGAUCUCCAUCGGGCACUAAUCAUGUAUGAGGCGUUAUAAGGGUGCUCGACGGGAUGUGUUCCGGAGCAUUGGGUCCCAAAUGGGAGCUUGGCUGGGUUACGCCCUCAGUCCAAGUAAAGCAGGAGUAAUGGAUCCGUCGGUGGCUAAAAGGUCCGGGGAUCACAGCGAG